UUCACUCUGAGUAAAAGUAGGUGUGUUUUAGAAGCAUUUGUAUACAAGAAGGAUCAACCCUGAGUACUUUAGCAGAACUCACUCUCAUCCUCUCUGAAGAAUACCUGGAGGUUAGCAAAACUCAACACCUGCAGACCCUGAACUACAGGGGACAGAAACAAGGCAGACUGACACCACAGAGGAACCAGCAGUGACGAUCAUGAUGGACCUGUUAUUGACCCUGCGCCUCCUCAUUGCUGGAGUUGUGUUGCUUUUGUUGCUUUUAUUACUCUGGCAGAAAAUCAUCACUGACAGACUUACUCAAAGUAGGAAAUCAAGUUUCAGAUGUAAUGAUGCCAGCGUCAGAAGAUCCAAAGAUAUCAGGAGCGUUAACACUAACCGUCACUUCGGUUUUCAUUUCGACAAACUCACUGGAAACGACUCUGCUGGUCGUGGUUGAUAUCAAACUGUGGCUGCAUUGGCUCAACAUCCUGCUACUCAGAGUAAAUUAGGUUAGCUACAGAGUUUUAUCAGUUAGUUAAAGGUAAAAGUAAAAAUAUGCACCAAGAACAGAACCAAUAAAAUGAUGCAAUGAUGCCGCAGUUCAGUAUGAAACCAGAAAGAGGAAUUUGGAAAUGAGGUCAAAUUUGUUUUCAACCAGUUUAGUUUGCACUAUCAUAUUCUGCAGAUUCUUCCCACAAUAACAGCAAAAUUAUAGAAGUUUGCAGUGGCUGAAAAUGUAGGAGCACAGCGCUACCUUUAGUUUGACCUUCAGUUUAGCCAACGGUUAGCUCUUGAGAAAACGGGAUAUUUAGCGUAGCAGCUCAGUGGAAAGCUGUGGAAGGAAUCAUGCAAUAAAGCCAAAACAUUAGCAUGGCUGUUACAAGAGGUGAAUCUUCCAGUCACCCAAACUGUAGUAACUUUAUUAAACGUCUGAAUGUAUUUUAUUUCUUAUUCUCAUGCUUCUUUUUUACAGUUUCUGGAAUUUAAUUUGUAGCGUUUUUAUGUUUCAUUUUACUUCCAUGCAGAUAUUAAUAUUGCAACUUAUUGUGUUGGUGUCAACAAAAAGUUUAAUGCAGUAAUAAAAUGUUUGUUUUUAUUUUAGACAUUACAUUGUUUUUGCACUGCUGUACUGUGCUAUCAUUGGUUGUUUUCCCAAGUCAACAGUACUUUUGCUUAAAUUAUGGAUUCAUGUAGUAAAACAGAAGCACAUUGGGUGAUUU
Molecule: long non-coding RNA, 1202 nt
Organism: Xiphophorus couchianus (Monterrey platyfish)
Lineage: Eukaryota; Metazoa; Chordata; Actinopteri; Cyprinodontiformes; Poeciliidae
Exons: 3
Source: RefSeq, a predicted model, not a curated record